RNAcentral lists this long non-coding RNA (347 nucleotides) under Homo sapiens (human). RNAcentral's name for it is "non-protein coding lnc-KCNK7-7:2". Lineage: Eukaryota; Metazoa; Chordata; Mammalia; Primates; Hominidae. The record is from RNAcentral.
AGGACCAGCACGGUUGUGAGGAGGUGGAGCAGCCCCACCACAAGAAGGAGUGCUACCUGAACUUCGAUGACACAGUGUUCUGCGACAGCGUAUUGGCCACCAACGUGACCCAGCAGGAGUGCUGCUGCUCUCUGGGGGCCGGCUGGGGCGACCACUGCGAAAUCUACCCCUGCCCAGUCUACAGCUCAGCCGAGUUCCACAGCCUCUGCCCAGACGGAAAGGGCUACACCCAGGACAACAACAUCGUCAACUACGGCAUCCCAGCCCACCGUGGUAAGCGCCCUGCGGCUCCGCCCGCCCCGCGCCCUCUCACCCCGGGUUGGGCUCGCCCGGAUCCCGCCGGGACU